RNAcentral lists this ribosomal RNA (94 nucleotides) under Listeria seeligeri. Lineage: Bacteria; Bacillati; Bacillota; Bacilli; Caryophanales; Listeriaceae. The record is from RNAcentral.
UAGUAAUUUAAUUGCACCCGUUCCCAUCCCGAACACGGUAGUUAAGCUUCUCUGCGCCAAUGGUAGUUGGGGGCUUCCCCCUGCGAGAGUAGGU